RNA transcript from Nymphaea colorata (pocket water lily), 1674 nucleotides. RefSeq lists it as uncharacterized. The record is from RefSeq and is a predicted model, not a curated record. The transcript has 14 exons. NCBI's taxonomy places the organism in Eukaryota, Viridiplantae, Streptophyta, Magnoliopsida, Nymphaeales, Nymphaeaceae.
AAAUUGGGAAGGUGGGAGGUGGCUCGGAGCAAAGAAGAGAAGGUGGGAAAGAAAGGAGAGAAGAACCUAGAAGGGGGGGAAGAGUUGCUGGCCGCAGCGGGAGGCGAUCCAGGAAAGAGGGAAGGAUCGGAAAAGGGUGCUUGGCGACUCCACGACCCUUCUCGCUUCUCCGGCGGCUGGAAUCUGGGUGGAGGGGAUGGAUUUUCUGAACAAGGUCAGGAAUCUGGACGCCUACCCUAAGAUCAACGAGGACUUCUACAGCAGGACGCUCUCCGGAGGACUCAUCACCGUCGUCUCUUCCAUUUUCAUCUUCUUGUUGGUCUUCUCGGAAUUCAGAGCUUAUCUUCAUCCUGUUACCGUCUCGGAGCUGACUGUCGACGUGAGAAGAGGAGGAACUCUCCGCAUCAAUCUCGAUGUGACUUUUCCAGCUCUAGCAUGUUCUGUCGUUAGUCUUGAUGCAAUGGACAUCAGUGGGGAGCAACAUUUUGAUAUUAGACAUGACAUAUUCAAGAAGAGGAUUGAUCAGCAUGGUAAUGUCAUUGGGACGAGGUCAGAUGGAAUUGGUUCACCCAAGAUUGAAAAGCCCCUACAGAGACAUGGAGGAAGGCUUGAGCAUAAUGAGACAUACUGUGGUUCUUGUUAUGGUGCAGAAGUGUCAGAUGAUGAUUGUUGUAACUCAUGUGAAGAAGUUCGUGAGGCCUAUCGGAAAAAAGGCUGGGCACUGUCAAAUGCUGACUUGAUUGAUCAGUGCAAAAGAGAGGGCUUUCUUCAGAAGAUAAAAGAAGAAGAAGGUGAAGGAUGCAACAUUCAUGGUUUUUUGGAAGUCAAUAAAGUUGCUGGCAAUUUUCACUUUGCCCCUGGGAAGAGCUUUCAUCAAGCAAACGUCCAUGUCCAUGACUUACUAGUGUUUGAGAAGGAUAGUUUUAAUCUAAGUCACAAGAUAAAUAAGCUGUCCUUUGGAGAUGAUUUUCCAGGUGUUGUAAAUCCACUUGAUGGUGUGCAGUGGAUACAACAUACACUUUCUGGAGCUUAUCAAUAUUUCAUUAAGGUUGUCCCUACGAUCUACACUGAUGUUAGGGGACGCACGAUCGAGUCUAACCAGUUCUCCGUAACUGAGCACUUCAAAGAUGAUAGUGGUCGGACUCAGUCCCUUCCAGGAGUUUUCUUUUUCUAUGACUUGUCUCCAAUUAAGGUGAAUUUUACGGAGUCAAAAGUAUCAUUUCUACAUUUUCUAACGAGCGUCUGUGCUAUAGUUGGAGGUAUUUUCACUGUCGCGGGGAUAGUGGACUCCUUUGUGUAUCACGGUCAAAGGAUGAAGAAGAAGAUGGCGUUAGGCAAGUUCAGUUGAUGAUGAGACAGGAAUCUGAAUUCCAUUACGAGGAAAGCUAAUUUUGUCCAGAGAUGAAGAGUCAUAUCCAAUGUUGAGGAAAAAGUACCGGACGGGUAAAACACGGAUGUGUGUGUGUGUAUGCUGGAUUCAUACAGUCCCGGACAUGUGCCUUGGUGCAGUAUUUUCUGAUCGACAAAUUUCUAUUCAACGGCUAGUUUUUUCAACUAACACUACAACCUCGCAUCCAACUUAUUAAAUUUACAUGCUUUCAUCAAAAAUUUAUAUAUUGCUAUGGUGAACAAAAAUGACAUGUCAAAUUAAGGCUGUAUGUUUAUUUCUUUUUU